CCAACGUGGAGUUCAGAAACCACAUUAAUAAACGAGGCGAAAACCUGAAAAGCCUUAUGAGUAAGGAAACAA
Regulatory RNA element from Flavobacterium sp. 316, 72 nucleotides. It matches the Rfam family "DUF805 RNA". The record is from Rfam. Lineage: Bacteria; Pseudomonadati; Bacteroidota; Flavobacteriia; Flavobacteriales; Flavobacteriaceae.